Molecule: ribosomal RNA, 1109 nt
Filed under: uncultured bacterium
Lineage: Bacteria
Description: bacterial SSU rRNA
Rfam family: Bacterial small subunit ribosomal RNA (bases 1-865)
Source: RNAcentral
AGUUUGAUCCUGGCUCAGAUUGAACGCUGGCGGCAGGCCUAACACAUGCAAGUCGAGCGGUAGAGAGAAGCUUGCUUCUCUUGAGAGCGGCGGACGGGUGAGUAAUGCCUAGGAAUCUGCCUGGUAGUGGGGGAUAACGUUCGGAAACGGACGCUAAUACCGCAUACGUCCUACGGGAGAAAGCAGGGGACCUUCGGGCCUUGCGCUAUCAGAUGAGCCUAGGUCGGAUUAGCUAGUUGGUGAGGUAAUGGCUCACCAAGGCGACGAUCCGUAACUGGUCUGAGAGGAUGAUCAGUCACACUGGAACUGAGACACGGUCCAGACUCCUACGGGAGGCAGCAGUGGGGAAUAUUGGACAAUGGGCGAAAGCCUGAUCCAGCCAUGCCGCGUGUGUGAAGAAGGUCUUCGGAUUGUAAAGCACUUUAAGUUGGGAGGAAGGGUUGUAGAUUAAUACUCUGCAAUUUUGACGUUACCGACAGAAUAAGCACCGGCUAACUCUGUGCCAGCAGCCGCGGUAAUACAGAGGGUGCAAGCGUUAAUCGGAAUUACUGGGCGUAAAGCGCGCGUAGGUGGUUUGUUAAGUUGGAUGUGAAAUCCCCGGGCUCAACCUGGGAACUGCAUUCAAAACUGACUGACUAGAGUAUGGUAGAGGGUGGUGGAAUUUCCUGUGUAGCGGUGAAAUGCGUAGAUAUAGGAAGGAACACCGGUGGCGAAGGCGACCACCUGGACUAAUACUGACGGUGAUGUGCGAGUGUGUGCGGAGCACACAGGAUUACAUCCCUGGUAGUCCACGCCGGGGACGAUGUCUACUACCCGGUGGCUUCCUUGAGCUUCUACUGCUGCACCUAACGCAUAGAUGACCGCCUGCCGAGUACGUCCGCCAGCUAGUACUCAUAUGAGUGACUGCCGGCCGCAGCAGCGUGCAUCCUGUCUAUUAAUCAAUCAACCGACGAGCGUACAGACUGACUUCAAAUGAACUGGCCCUACUAGAUAAGCCGCCGCGACAGUAACAUAGAGACGGAGGCUGAUGCUGCCACACUGAGUUGAAAUUAGCUAUCCCUUCACGAUCGACUGGGUAUAAGUACAACUGCUUACGAGCGGAGCUGAGA